CCUACGGGAAGCAGCAGUGAGGAAUAUUGGUCAAUGGACGAGAGUCUGAACCAGCCAAGUAGCGUGAAGGAUGACUGCCCUAUGGGUUGUAAACUUCUUUUAUAUGGGAAUAAAAUGUUCCACGUGUGGGAUUUUGUAUGUACCAUAUGAAUAAGGAUCGGCUAACUCCGUGCCAGCAGCCGCGGUAAUACGGAGGAUCCGAGCGUUAUCCGGAUUUAUUGGGUUUAAAGGGAGCGUAGGUGGAUUGUUAAGUCAGUUGUGAAAGUUUGCGGCUCAACCGUAAAAUUGCAGUUGAAACUGGCAGUCUUGAGUACAGUAGAGGUGGGCGGAAUUCGUGGUGUAGCGGUGAAAUGCUUAGAUAUCACGAAGAACUCCGAUUGCGAAGGCAGUUCACUGGACUGCAACUGACACUGAGGCUCGAAAGUGUGGGUAUCAAACAGGAUUAGAUACCCGUGUAGUC
RNAcentral lists this ribosomal RNA (460 nucleotides) under uncultured bacterium. RNAcentral's name for it is "partial 16S ribosomal RNA". It matches the Rfam family "Bacterial small subunit ribosomal RNA", at positions 338 to 795 of the family's 1533-position model. The record is from RNAcentral.